AGAGUUUGAUCCUGGCUCAGAACAAACGCUGGCGGCGUGCCUAACACAUGCAAGUCGUACGUGAAAGGGUCUUCGGACCUGAGUAAAGUGGCGCACGGGUGAGUAACGCGUGGAUAAUCUGCCCCUCAGUUGGGAAUAACUCAUCGAAAGGUGGGCUAAUACCGAAUAAUGCUGCAUGACCGCGGUUGUGCAGCCAAAGAUGGCCUCUGCUUGCAUGCUGUCGCUGAAGGAUGAGUCCGCGUACCAUUAGCUAGUUGGUAGGGUAAUGGCCUACCAAGGCUACGAUGGUUAGCUGGUCUGAGAGGAUGAUCAGCCACACUGGAACUGAGAUACGGUC
This 337-nucleotide ribosomal RNA is filed under the name uncultured bacterium. RNAcentral describes it as "bacterial SSU rRNA". It matches the Rfam family "Bacterial small subunit ribosomal RNA", at positions 8 to 331 of the family's 1533-position model. The record is from RNAcentral.